UACGGAGGGUGCAAGCGUUAUCCGGAUUCACUGGGUUUAAAGGGUGCGUAGGUGGGCAGGUAAGUCAGUGGUGAAAUCUCCGAGCUUAACUCGGAAACUGCCGUUGAUACUAUUUGUCUUGAAUAUUGUGGAGGUAAGCGGAAUAUGUCAUGUAGCGGUGAAAUGCUUAGAUAUGACAUAGAACACCAAUUGCGAAGGCAGCUUACUACACAACUAUUGACGCUGAGGCACGAAAGCGUGGGGAUCAAACAGG
RNAcentral lists this ribosomal RNA (253 nucleotides) under uncultured bacterium. RNAcentral describes it as "partial 16S ribosomal RNA". It matches the Rfam family "Bacterial small subunit ribosomal RNA", at positions 524 to 776 of the family's 1533-position model. The record is from RNAcentral.